UACAGAGGUCCCGAGCGUUGUUCGGAUUCACUGGGCGUAAAGGGUGCGUAGGUGGUGAGAUAAGUCGGAUGUGAAAGCUCGGAGCUCAACUCCGAAAUGGCAUUGGAAACUAUCUCGCUCGAGGGUUGGAGGGGGGACUGGAAUGCUUGGUGUAGCAGUGAAAUGCGUAGAUAUCAAGCGGAACACCAGUGGCGAAGGCGAGUCCCUGGACAACUCCUGACACUGAGGCACGAAAGCUAGGGGAGCAAACAGG
RNAcentral lists this ribosomal RNA (253 nucleotides) under uncultured bacterium. RNAcentral's name for it is "partial 16S ribosomal RNA". It matches the Rfam family "Bacterial small subunit ribosomal RNA", at positions 524 to 776 of the family's 1533-position model. The record is from RNAcentral.